AGUGUGUCUGUAGAACUUGCGUGGGAGUGUCCUCUGAAAAUUCGCUCCGAAGAUCCGAGGGAGAUUUCGUAUGACUUCGGCGGCUACGCGAUAUCGCUUCUAUGCACAUUCGUUGUUUUGAAUCAGGUUUUAAUCCAAACUCACAAAGACUAGUGAUGAGCUGUUCACGUGAGUAGACAAUAAUAAUAAUAAAAGAAAAAAUAAAAGAAGAGAGAGAAAAAGAAGACGAA
Non-coding RNA from Penaeus vannamei (Pacific white shrimp), 230 nucleotides. The record is from RefSeq and is a predicted model, not a curated record. NCBI's taxonomy places the organism in Eukaryota, Metazoa, Arthropoda, Malacostraca, Decapoda, Penaeidae.